RNAcentral lists this ribosomal RNA (206 nucleotides) under uncultured bacterium. Its description in RNAcentral is "partial 16S ribosomal RNA". It matches the Rfam family "Bacterial small subunit ribosomal RNA", at positions 568 to 774 of the family's 1533-position model. The record is from RNAcentral.
CGCGUAGGUGGCUCGUUAAGUGGUCGGUGAAAUCCCGGGGCUCAACUCCGGGGCUGCCGGUCAGACUGGCGGGCUAGAGCACGGUAGGGGCAGAUGGAAUUCCCGGUGUAGCGGUGGAAUGCGUAGAUAUCGGGAAGAACACCAGUGGCGAAGGCGUUCUGCUGGGCCGUUGCUGACACUGAGGCGCGACAGCGUGGGAGCAAACA